This 1700-nucleotide unclassified non-coding RNA is filed under the name Bombus terrestris (buff-tailed bumblebee). RNAcentral describes it as "misc RNA ENSBTSG00005021764.1". The record is from RNAcentral. Lineage: Eukaryota; Metazoa; Arthropoda; Insecta; Hymenoptera; Apidae.
GGUUAACACCUCCAUGUUACUUUAGUGUUGCGUAAAUGGAGUUGAAGAAGAGUUUAGAAGGUAAGCAGGCGAGACACACUCGGGAUCUUUACAUCGCGGAAAGCUGUGCCGCGCUGAAGAUUUUGUCCCUUACCGCGUCGUUGCUACACUAUUUCCUGAGCACAAAUCCGACUUGCGAUUUCACGAAAUUUCACGAGCGAGUUCCCCCAUUCAUUCACGGAGGGCGACUCUCAAAAUUCCUAUCCAAACAAAACGUCGCAUUGUCAACACCUGGAUCCCGUUCUUCAUAAAUCUACAUCAGCAAAUCAGGACAUUAGCUUUCAUGGGGAUUUAAGCCAGUCGGUAGACGACGUUAAGUCCGCGUCGCGAAGGACUUGACAAGACGAAGAGGAAAAAAGUGCGUACCGACUCGUGGUCCCGUGGCGUCGUGGAUUUAUUACGAGAAGAAGAGAUGCAAACGGAGAGGCUAAGGGACUGAGGAAAAUGGAGAACGAUGGUGUGGCUCUGGGUAUCCAGCCAGGCUACUGAAAAUGGAAAAUCUUUUCAGACGAGGCUGGAAUACCUUUAAACGCGGAAGCUAACGUGGGUACGAGAUGUCAGACUGCAAAGGCUCGUCGCCAGCAUAUUUAUGACGUGAGCAGAAUCGUCCUGGUAAAAUUGAGAUCCUAGAAAGGGUGUCGGCAACCACACGCGGUUGAUUAUGGCAUAUUUGAACGCCAGCUCCGAAGGGCUGUCCUUUUGAUCUUCCGUAAAAAUCGCACCUGUAACAUUGAGAAAAGUCGAACCAUCAAUAACUGAGAUGCUGGGAUUCUUCGAAAACUUGGAAAAUAAUUUUUGUAGUAUAAGUUGUUUGUAGUAAUACUUUGUGGCGAAAUAACCAGCGGUCAAAAUAAUAUCUUUAGAUACUUUGACGGAAGCAUUUACGUACGCUUCGUCAUUAGUUGAUCGUUUUGUAUUCAGUUUAAUGAGUUGUUUAUAGUAGAGUCAUGGAGAAUCAAUCUUUAAUUAAAUUCCGGUGAUCGAAUAUGGCAGGGUCGCGUAAGAAACUAACGCUGGCAAGAAAAUGUUUCGAUGUUAGCAACACGUUUAACUCGAAACAUCGUCUCUCUGUUCCGUAUAUUUCUCCACCAACCUUUUAAUUACAUUAUAUCAAUUAGACCCCUGACAAGUUGAACGGACGCAAUUACAGACGAUCGAUUACACCUUCGUAAGAGCGAAACGUUUAUAAUCGCGUUUGCCCGCGAGCUAACGUCUACUGAAAGCAACGAUUGAAAAUAAAUGUGCGCUUCAUUGCUUUACAAUUACUUAAUUGAGCCGUAUAAUCCGCGAAACUUUGGGGAGGAACAACAAAAGUUUCUUUUACAAAGAAAGUGAAACAUUUCCAAUACCGACGACGUACAUUUCGCGAGAGGGAAGCCAUUAAAUUAAAAUCACGGUAAAUGGCUGCAGAAACUUUGGACGAAGAAUUAAUCAAUAGAUUAUUCGGAAAGCUGUCGUAUCUCUAGAAUACUAAGAAUUCCGACAAAGAGUCAUGUUGAUAUUUAAUAGAUUGCUUUACGUAUCGCGUUGUACGAGCAUUACAGGCGUCUAAAGUCGUUGACAUGGUUUCUGCAAUUCUGAUAUGACUAUCAUUGAUAUGAUCUUUGUAACCCCUCAGAAUCUUCAAAUGAUUCUCAUUGUCAACUUCAUUUCGCAAUCUC